UAGGAACUGCCACCGGGUAGUGUAUGCUGUUAAGCAUUCGUCGCACAUCGUUAGGUCUUUGAAGAUGUGCGCCACGGGUGCUUAUUUUUUA
This 91-nucleotide non-coding RNA is filed under the name unclassified sequences. The record is from RNAcentral.